AAGUCGUAACAAGGUUUCCGUAGGUGAACCUGCGGAAGGAUCAUUAGUAGUGUUGGAGGGGGGGGUGGAUGGGUGUGUUGGUGUUGGUGUUGGGUGUGGUGUUGGAUGAUUGUGAGGCGUGAGCCGAGCGGUGGCCAGUGCCUAUUCCCAUGCCAUCCAUGCCAUCUAUUCCUGUCCCAUUGACAGACGCCCGCAAGGGUGGCUGUAGACAAGUGUGACUGUAGACAUGUAUGUAAGCAAAAACAACUUUUAACAAUGGAUCUCUUGGCUCCU
Molecule: unclassified non-coding RNA, 273 nt
Filed under: fungal sp.
Lineage: Eukaryota; Fungi
Description: partial internal transcribed spacer region
Rfam family: Eukaryotic small subunit ribosomal RNA (bases 1-46)
Source: RNAcentral